UUUCCUACGGGGCGCAGCAGUGGGGAAUAUUGCACAAUGGGGGGAACCCUGAUGCAGCGACGCCGCGUGAAGGAAGAAGUAUUUCGGUACGUAAACUUCUAUCAGCAGGGAAGAAAAAGGACGGUACCUGACUAAGAAGCCCCGGCUAACUACGUGCCAGCAGCCGCGGUAAUACGUAGGGGGCAAGCGUUAUCCGGAAUUACUGGGUGUAAAGGGAGCGUAGACGGUUAAGUAAGUCUGGAGUGAAAGGCCGGGGCCCAACCCCGGGACUGCUCUGGAAACUAUUCAACUUGAGUGCAGGGGAG
RNAcentral lists this ribosomal RNA (305 nucleotides) under uncultured bacterium. Its description in RNAcentral is "bacterial SSU rRNA". It matches the Rfam family "Bacterial small subunit ribosomal RNA", at positions 335 to 656 of the family's 1533-position model. The record is from RNAcentral.